GGAUUAGAUACCCCACUAUGCUUAGCCCUAAACAUAAAAAAUUAUAAACAAAAUUAUUCGCCAGAGUACUACUAGCAAUAGCUUAAAACUCAAAGGACUUGGCGGUGCCUUACAUCCCUCUAGAGGAGCCUGUUCUAUAAUCGAUAAACCCCGAUCUACCUCACCAAUCUUUGCUAAAUCAGCCUAUAUACCGCCAUCUUCAGCAAACCCUAAAAAGGAAUUAAAGUAAGCACAAGUAUUAACAUAAAAACGUUAGGUCAAGGUGUAGCUUAUAGAGUGGAAAGAAAUGGGCUACAUUCCCCGACUCGGGGAACUAAAUUUUAUACSAAAACCUAUGUGAAAUCAAAAGUUAAAGGUGGAUUUAGCAGUAAAUUAAGAAUAGAGAGCUUAAUUGAAUAUGGCCAURAGGCACGCACACACCGCCCG
This 426-nucleotide ribosomal RNA is filed under the name Myotis mystacinus (whiskered bat). Its description in RNAcentral is "partial 12S ribosomal RNA". It matches the Rfam family "Bacterial small subunit ribosomal RNA", at positions 775 to 1396 of the family's 1533-position model. The record is from RNAcentral. Lineage: Eukaryota; Metazoa; Chordata; Mammalia; Chiroptera; Vespertilionidae.